GAGAAGGACAAAGUGGAGAGGGAGGAGAUGGAGCAAUCUCUUAUGUGAUCAUUCCAUCAACUCACAGAUUUUUCACCUAACACCUGGUUCAACUGUAAUGUGCUGAGCUCCAUAUAACCUGGACAGCAGCUGUGCCCUCACCCCUAAACUCAGCAAAAUAUUAUGGUCCUCUAAUCAAGAGAAUUUUGCUCCUGUUACUGCAUGUCUUGUGGGUUCAUCGUCAGACCAGUGAGUUGAUACCAAACUUCACCAAACGGUUCUCCGGAGCAACCGUUUAGAGGUGACUUGACUACCCUACCUGUGUCUGUGACUGAGUAGAGGCAAGAGGAGGGGGCUCUUAGCAGAAAUACAUUGGACAUGUGACCUGGUGAAGGCCAAGGGAGGGGUGUUGAUGUGAAGACGCUGGGGACAUCAUCUGUGAAGACAGGCCAGCCCUCCCCUUCUGCUGGAGCCUCAGUGUCCCCUCACCAUUCUGCGCUGGUCCAGAGAUUUCCUGCUGUUGAUACUUAUCAGAGACACAAAGCUGAGGAGGAACAGAUGUGCCAUGUCAUCAGCCAUAAUAGAAAAAGUGCAUGUAUCUUUUUUGGACCAGAUGUUUGCAAGAGUUGUAUUAAAUAUAUUUCAUUC
Molecule: small RNA, 627 nt
Filed under: Pan troglodytes (chimpanzee)
Lineage: Eukaryota; Metazoa; Chordata; Mammalia; Primates; Hominidae
Description: processed transcript
Source: RNAcentral